Molecule: ribosomal RNA, 378 nt
Filed under: uncultured bacterium
Lineage: Bacteria
Description: bacterial SSU rRNA
Rfam family: Bacterial small subunit ribosomal RNA
Source: RNAcentral
UAGGCCUAACACAUGCAAGUCGAACGAACCCUUCGGGGUUAGUGGCGCACGGGUGCGUAACGCGUGGGAAUCUGCCCUUUGCUUCGGAAUAACAGUUAGAAAUGACUGCUAAUACCGGAUGAUGUCUUCGGACCAAAGAUUUAUCGGCAAGGGAUGAGCCCGCGUAGGAUUAGGUAGUUGGUGGGGUAAAGGCCUACCAAGCCGACGAUCCUUAGCUGGUCUGAGAGGAUGAUCAGCCACACUGGGACUGAGACACGGCCCAGACUCCUACGGGAGGCAGCAGUGGGGAAUAUUGGAGCAAUGGGCGCAAGCCUGAUCCAGCAAUGCCGCGUGAGAGAGGAGGCCUUCGGGUCGUAAGCUCUUUUACCAGGGAUGAUA